UAGUACGGCGAGUGAGAGGGAAGAGCCCAAGAUUGAAAGCUGGCGUCUUCGGCGUCCGCAUUGUAAUCUCAAGAAGUGUUUUCCGCUUCGGACCAAGCCUAAGUCCCCUGGAAAGGGGCAUCAUAGAGGGUGAUAAUCCCGUACAUGGCUUGGAGCGCCCGAGGCUUUGUGAUACGCUUUCUAAGAGUCGAGUUGUUUGGGAAUGCAGCUCAAAAUGGGUGGUAAAUGCCAUCUAAGGCUAAAUAUUGGGGAGAGACCGAUAGCGAACAAGUACAGUGAUGGAAAGAUGAAAAGAACUUUGAAAAGAGAGUUAAACAGUACGUGAAAUUGCCAAAAGGGAAGGGUAGGAGGUCAGAGAUGCGUCGCAGGAUUCAGCCUUGCUUUUGCUUGGUGUUUUUCCUGCGUUGCAGGCCAACGUCGGUUUUGGGCACUGGAGAAGGGUAGGAGGAACGUGGCACCUCUCGGGGUGUGUUAUAGCCUCCUACUGGAUACAGCGACCGAGACCGAGGAACGCAGCGUACUCGUAAGAGCGGGCCUUUUGGCACCUUUACGCUUAGGGCGUUGGCAUAAUGGCCCUCUACCACCCGUCUUGA
Molecule: ribosomal RNA, 593 nt
Filed under: uncultured Pseudozyma
Lineage: Eukaryota; Fungi; Basidiomycota; Ustilaginomycetes; Ustilaginales; Ustilaginaceae
Description: eukaryotic LSU rRNA
Rfam family: Eukaryotic large subunit ribosomal RNA
Source: RNAcentral